Long non-coding RNA from Oreochromis niloticus (Nile tilapia), 533 nucleotides. RefSeq lists it as uncharacterized. The record is from RefSeq and is a predicted model, not a curated record. The transcript has 3 exons. Lineage: Eukaryota; Metazoa; Chordata; Actinopteri; Cichliformes; Cichlidae.
CGUGGGAAGACUCCAGAAUCCACUCUGGCUGGAAUCCGGUGGAUACAGCAGUGUUACAGAACAGUUCGCCACAGUCGCUGUCCACAUGGGUCAGUGGGACCAAGCAGCACUCUGCUAAUGUGUGGACUCUGACCAGCAACAUCCAGCAAGACCCAGGCAGCGUUUUCUAUCUCCCAGCUGGAGUUUUUUGUUUGUCUGUGACUGGAGAGUCAGAUUUUUGUUGAAGCUGGAGGAACAGAGAGGUUAAUACAUGCUACUGAUCCCUGAUGGGAGAAUCAUCACCUCUGCCAACAAAGAAGCCUGGUGGAUGUUUGUUUACAGUCUGAUGAUGGGACAUCAUGCUCUGCAUCUUCAAAGUUUGUCUCUUGAUUAUUAUUCAUACACAGUAAUGUGAAUUAUGCUUAUAUCUAGUAUAACUGGACCAACCUGGUGCUCUUCAUUUAUGGAGGCUGUUGAGUCUGAAUGUUGGAUGUUGUGUAUCUCGUGUUCUCUGGGCUUUGUUGUCCUCAGUCUUUUUGCAGGAUCAGAAAACA